AGUGAACGCUGGCGGUAUGCCUAACACAUGCAAGUCGAACGGCAGCACAGUAAGCGCUUGCUCUUACGGUUGCCGACGGGCGGACAGUGUAUGAAUACAUCGCAAGCUACUUGGUCUAGCUACGUAACGUAGUGACUAUUACGCUAAUACCGCAUACGACCUACGGGUGAAAUCAUGGGAUCUUCCAAUCUUGCGCGAUUCAAUAAGCCGAUGUCGGAUUAGCUAGUUGGCGGGGUAAAGGCCCACCAAGGCGACGAUCCGUAGCUGGUUUGAGAGGAUGACCAGCCACACUGGAACUGAGACACGGUCCAGACUCCUACGGGAGGCAGCAGUGGGGAAUAUUGGACAAUGGGCGCAAGCCUGAUCCAGCCAUCCCGCGUGGGUGAAGAAGGCCUUCGGGUUGUAAAGCACUUUUGUUGGGAAAGAAAAGCAGCAGGUUAAUACCCCGCUGUUCUGACGGUACCUAAAGAAUAAGCACCGGCUAACUUCGUG
Molecule: ribosomal RNA, 492 nt
Filed under: uncultured bacterium
Lineage: Bacteria
Description: partial 16S ribosomal RNA
Rfam family: Bacterial small subunit ribosomal RNA
Source: RNAcentral